GUAGGUGAACCUGCGGAAGGAUCAUUACCACAAUUACGGGGGGCCGGCCUUAAAGUUCAAGGCUUCACUGUCUUGUUCUUUUCCCCGCCCUGUCUGAAUAUACCCUUGUCUUUUGCGUACAAUUUGUUUCCUUGGGGGGCUUGCUCCCCAACUGGACAUCAAUACAACCCUUUGUAAUUGCAGUCAGCGUCAAAAAAACAAAUAAUAAUUACGACUUUCAACAACGGAUCUCUUGGUUCUG
Molecule: unclassified non-coding RNA, 241 nt
Filed under: rhizosphere metagenome
Description: partial ribosomal RNA internal transcribed spacer region
Source: RNAcentral